This 115-nucleotide ribosomal RNA is filed under the name Alphaproteobacteria bacterium. The record is from RNAcentral. Lineage: Bacteria; Pseudomonadati; Pseudomonadota; Alphaproteobacteria.
GCCGGUGGUUCUUGGGCUGGUGAAACACUCGAUCCCUUCCCGAACUCGAAAGUGAAACCCUUCCCCGCCAAUGGUACUUUGUCUCAAGACACGGAAGAGUAGGUCGCCGCCGGUU